RNAcentral lists this ribosomal RNA (253 nucleotides) under uncultured microorganism. RNAcentral describes it as "partial 16S ribosomal RNA". It matches the Rfam family "Bacterial small subunit ribosomal RNA", at positions 524 to 776 of the family's 1533-position model. The record is from RNAcentral.
UACGGAGGGUGCAAGCGUUAAUCGGAAUUACUGGGCGUAAAGCGUACGUAGGCGGCUUGUUAAGCAAGAUGUGAAAUCCCCGGGCUCAACCUGGGAAUGGCAUUUUGAACUGGCAGGCUCGAGUUCUGAAGAGGGUGGUGGAAUUCCCAGUGUAGCGGUGAAAUGCGUAGAUAUUGGAAGGAAUACCGGUGGCGAAGGCGGCCACCUGGUCAGAAACUGACGCUGAGGUACGAAAGCGUGGGGAGCAAACAGG